AACGAACGCUGGCGGCGCGCCUAAUACAUGCAAGUCGAGCGAGAAGACGUAGCAAUACGUUUGUAAAGCGGCGAACGGGUGAGGAAUACAUGGGUAACCUACCCUCGAGUGGGGAAUAACUAGCCGAAAGGUUAGCUAAUACCGCGUACGCUCCUUGGACUUCGGUUCAGGGAGGAAAGCGAUACCGUGGGUAUCGCGCUCUUGGAUGGGCUCAUGUCCUAUCAGCUUGUUGGUGAGGAACGGCUCACCAAGGCUUCGACGGGUAGCUGGUCUGAGAGGACGAUCAGCCACACUGGCACUGCGACACGGGCCAGACUCCUACGGGAGGCAGCAGUAAGGAAUAUUGCGCAAUGGGCGAAAGCCUGACGCAGCGACGCCGCGUGGGGGAUGAAGG
Molecule: ribosomal RNA, 394 nt
Filed under: uncultured bacterium
Lineage: Bacteria
Description: bacterial SSU rRNA
Rfam family: Bacterial small subunit ribosomal RNA
Source: RNAcentral